This 421-nucleotide ribosomal RNA is filed under the name uncultured bacterium. RNAcentral's name for it is "bacterial SSU rRNA". It matches the Rfam family "Bacterial small subunit ribosomal RNA", at positions 30 to 454 of the family's 1533-position model. The record is from RNAcentral.
AUUGAACGCUGGCGGCAUGCCUUACACAUGCAAGUCGAACGGCAGCACGGGAGCAAUCCUGGUGGCGAGUGGCGAACGGGUGAGUAAUGUAUCGGAACGUGCCUUGUCGUGGGGGAUAACGUAGCGAAAGCUACGCUAAUACCGCAUACCAUCUAAGGAUGAAAGCGGGGGAUCGCAAGACCUCGCGCGACAAGAGUGGCCGAUAUCAGAUUAGGUUGUUGGUGGGGUAAAGGCCUACCAAGCCGACGAUCUGUAGCUGGUCUGAGAGGACGACCAGCCACACUGGGACUGAGACACGGCCCAGACUCCUACGGGAGGCAGCAGUGGGGAAUUUUGGACAAUGGGCGAAAGCCUGAUCCAGCAAUGCCGCGUGCAGGAUGAAGGCCUUCGGUGUAACUGCUUUGUACUAGAACGAAACAGU